Rosa chinensis is the source of this 551-nucleotide long non-coding RNA. RefSeq lists it as uncharacterized. NCBI's taxonomy places the organism in Eukaryota, Viridiplantae, Streptophyta, Magnoliopsida, Rosales, Rosaceae. The record is from RefSeq and is a predicted model, not a curated record. The transcript is spliced from 5 exons.
CUCCUUCACUCUCUCAGACGACUGGCUCCUCAACUGCGGCUCUUCCUCCAACGCCACCUUCUUCAGCCGUUUCUUCAUCGGAGAUUUCAAUUUCAGGUCGGGUGUUGUCUCCACAGGCCGGCCUAUUUCAGUCACGAACAACAAAAUCCCACCUUCAAACUCACUCUUCUUACCACACAGCAAGAGUGUUCACAACUGCUUCAACCCUUCAAGCUAUAGUUUAAGCAUCAAGAAAAUCGGAACUCACUUGGUUUGAUGCGAAUAAGUGUGCAACUGAUUGUUUUGGCGCUGUUCCUUUGUCGGUUGAAGAGGGUACCUUUUCAGUGAUUGACAAAACACAGAAAAAAAGAACUUCCUUUCUUUGGUUGUCAAUAAGGUGAACUGUGGGAAAUCAGAACAAAAUGCUUGAAGAAAACGUUCAACCUACAUUGGUUCGUGAGAUAAAGGGUUAUCAGGCCGUCGUCAAAGUGAGGGUUCGUGUAUCCAGAAUAUGGAGGCCAAAGAGAUUUAAAGUGAGAUAUAUGAUGGCCUUCACUACAUCUUAAUUGACG